Molecule: transfer RNA, 67 nt
Filed under: Micromus angulatus
Lineage: Eukaryota; Metazoa; Arthropoda; Insecta; Neuroptera; Hemerobiidae
Also listed under: 1 other name
Description: tRNA-Asp
Source: RNAcentral
AAAAAGUUAGUUAAAAUAUAACCUAAAUAUGUCAUAUUUAAAUUACUAUAAAUAUUAGUACUUUUUG